This 1015-nucleotide long non-coding RNA is filed under the name Bos grunniens (domestic yak). Its description in RNAcentral is "lncRNA (ENSBGRG00000018750.1)". Lineage: Eukaryota; Metazoa; Chordata; Mammalia; Artiodactyla; Bovidae. The record is from RNAcentral.
AUGCAGGAGACCCAGGUUCGAUCCUUGGGUUGGAAAGAUCCCUUGGAGAAGGGAAUGGCAACUCAUUCCAAUAUUCCUGCCUGGAGAAUUCCAUGGACAGAGGAGCUUGGUGGGCUACAGUCCAUGGGGUCACAAAGAGUUGGACAUGACUGAGUGACUUCACUUUCACUUUUCACUUUCAUGCAUUGGAGAAGGAAAUGGCAACCCACUCCAGUGUUCUUGCCUGGAGAAUCCCAGGGAUGGGGAAGCCUGGUGGGCUGCCGUCUAUGGGGUCACACAGAGUCGGACACGACUGAAGCGACUUAGCAGCAGCAGCGGCGGCGGCAUUGGUAAAGAAUUGCUAUGAUUCCCAACUUGAUAGAAAAAGUGUAUAUGUUUAGACAUAGAAAUUGGGGGAGAAAAGAAUUAGGGGAUAUAAUAAUAAAAAUAUAGCCAUCAGAUUAGAGGAACGGCUUUCAAAAGCCUAUAACAAAGAGCAAUUUACAGCCCCACUUAUGAAGAAUAGUCAGAAUGAAGCACAGGACUUCUCUUCCUGCUGUCACCUGAAUGUCCAUGGUAAAUAAGAAAGAAUGAGUAAAUAUAAGUAAAGCCCUUAAAAAAAAUGCUUGUAACAGUAUCAGUGCCAUAUGAAAGUUCAAGGAAUAAAUCUGGAAGGAACACAGAAACUCAGCAAUGGUUCCUUCUGGAAACAGAACCUGGAAAACUGCAGAACAGGGAGUGAAGAAAAUCCAGAUACUAAUGUGCAUUCUGUUCCUCUUUUUGAAUUUUGUACAAGUGUGUCAUUCUUGUUCUUACUAUAAAAUUUAUUUUAAAAAAUGAACACCCCAUAACAGUAGCAUUAGAUACCCACUUUAUUUGGCUCAUGGUCACAGGGUGAGGAACUCAGACAGAGCACAUCUGCUCUAUGGUGGCAGGGCCUCAGCAGAGAAGACUCAUGGACUGGGGCUGACUCCACAUCCAGGGACUGGAAUCCUCUGGGUGACUUUACUCCCACGUCUUCAGUUGAAGCUGGGUU